UACGUAGGGUGCAAGCGUUAAUCGGAAUUACUGGGCGUAAAGCGUGCGCAGGCGGUUCGUUAUGUCCGUUGUGAAAGCCCCGGGCUCAACCUGGGAAUGGCAAUGGAAACUGGCGGGCUAGAGUGUGGCAGAGGGGGGUGGAAUUCCGCGUGUAGCAGUGAAAUGCGUAGAGAUGCGGAGGAACACCGAUGGCGAAGGCAGCCCCCUGGGCUAGCACUGACGCUCAGGCACGAAAGCGUGGGGAGCAAACAGG
This 253-nucleotide ribosomal RNA is filed under the name uncultured bacterium. Its description in RNAcentral is "partial 16S ribosomal RNA". It matches the Rfam family "Bacterial small subunit ribosomal RNA", at positions 524 to 776 of the family's 1533-position model. The record is from RNAcentral.